Molecule: ribosomal RNA, 846 nt
Filed under: Pseudomonas helmanticensis
Lineage: Bacteria; Pseudomonadati; Pseudomonadota; Gammaproteobacteria; Pseudomonadales; Pseudomonadaceae
Description: bacterial SSU rRNA
Rfam family: Bacterial small subunit ribosomal RNA
Source: RNAcentral
AGAUUGAACGCUGGCGGCAGGCCUAACACAUGCAAGUCGAGCGGAUGACAGGAGCUUGCUCCUGAAUUCAGCGGCGGACGGGUGAGUAAUGCCUAGGAAUCUGCCUGGUAGUGGGGGACAACGUUUCGAAAGGAACGCUAAUACCGCAUACGUCCUACGGGAGAAAGCAGGGGACCUGAUCGGGCCUUGCGCUAUCAGAUGAGCCUAUGGUCGGAUUAGCUAGUUGGUGAGGUAAUGGCUCACCAAGGCGGGACGAUCCGUAACUGGUCUGAGAGGAUGAUCAGUCACACUGGAACUGAGACACGGUCCAGACUCCUACGGGAGGCAGCAGUGGGGAAUAUUGGACAAUGGGCGAAAGCCUGAUCCAGCCAUGCCGCGUGUGUGAAGAAGGUCUUACGGAUUGUAAAGCACUUUAAGUUGGGAGGAAGGGCAUUAACCUAAUACGUUAGUGUUUUGACGUUAAGCCGACAGAAUAAGCACCGGCUAAGCUCUGUGCCAGCAGCCGCGGUCAAUACAGAGGGUGGCCAAGCCGUUAAUCGGAAUUACUGGGCGUAAAGCGCGCGUAGGUGGUUUGUUAAGUUGGAUGUGAAAUCCCCGGGCUCAACAUCGCUGGGAACUGCAUUCAAAACUGACAAGCUAGAGUAUGGUAGAGGGUGGUGGAAUUUCCUGUGUAGCGGUGAAAUGCGUAGAUAUAGGAAGGAACACCAGUGGCGAAGGCGACCACCUGGACUGAUACUGACACUGAGGUGCGAAAGCGUGGGGAGCAAACAGGCAUUAGAUACCCUGGUAGUCCACGCCGUAAACGAUGUCAACUAGCCGUUGGGAGCCUUGAGCUCUUAGUGGCGC